RNAcentral lists this ribosomal RNA (437 nucleotides) under uncultured Propionibacterium sp. Its description in RNAcentral is "bacterial SSU rRNA". It matches the Rfam family "Bacterial small subunit ribosomal RNA", at positions 958 to 1392 of the family's 1533-position model. The record is from RNAcentral. Lineage: Bacteria; Bacillati; Actinomycetota; Actinomycetes; Propionibacteriales; Propionibacteriaceae.
AACGCGAAGAACCUUACCUGGGUUUGACAUGGAUCGGGAGUGCUCAGAGAUGGGUGUGCCUCUUUUGGGGUCGGUUCACAGGUGGUGCAUGGCUGUCGUCAGCUCGUGUCGUGAGAUGUUGGGUUAAGUCCCGCAACGAGCGCAACCCUUGUUCACUGUUGCCAGCACGUUAUGGUGGGGACUCAGUGGAGACCGCCGGGGUCAACUCGGAGGAAGGUGGGGAUGACGUCAAGUCAUCAUGCCCCUUAUGUCCAGGGCUUCACGCAUGCUACAAUGGCUGGUACAGAGAGUGGCGAGCCUGUGAGGGUGAGCGAAUCUCGGAAAGCCGGUCUCAGUUCGGAUUGGGGUCUGCAACUCGACCUCAUGAAGUCGGAGUCGCUAGUAAUCGCAGAUCAGCAACGCUGCGGUGAAUACGUUCCCGGGCCUUGUACACACCG